GGGCCCAUAGCUCAGUUGGUUAGAGCAGGGGACUCAUAAUCCCUUGGUCGUGGGUUCAAGUCCCACUGGGCCCA
Molecule: transfer RNA, 74 nt
Filed under: Flavobacteriales bacterium
Lineage: Bacteria; Pseudomonadati; Bacteroidota; Flavobacteriia; Flavobacteriales
Description: tRNA-Ile
Rfam family: tRNA
About the family: Transfer RNA (tRNA) molecules are approximately 80 nucleotides in length. Their secondary structure includes four short double-helical elements and three loops (D, anti-codon, and T loops).
Source: RNAcentral